AUUGAACGCUGGCGGCAUGCCUUACACAUGCAAGUCGAACGGCAGCGGGGGAGAAGCUUGCUUUUCCUGCCGGCGAGUGGCGAACGGGUGAGUAAUACAUCGGAACGUGCCCUGUAGUGGGGGAUAACUAGUCGAAAGAUUAGCUAAUACCGCAUACGACCUGAGGGUGAAAGUGGGGGACCGCAAGGCCUCAUGCUAUAGGAGCGGCCGAUGUCUGAUUAGCUAGUUGGUGGGGUAAAGGCCUACCAAGGCGACGAUCAGUAGCUGGUCUGGGAGGACGAGCAGCCACACUGGGACUGCGACACGGCCAAGACUCCUACGGGAGGCAGCAGUGGGGAAUUUUGGACAAUGGGCGAAAGCCUGAUCCAGCAAUGCCGCGUGUGUGAAGAAGGCCUUCGGGUUGUAAAGCACUUUUGUCCGGAAAGAAAUGGCUCUGGUUAAUACCUGGGGUCGAUGACGGUACCGGAAGAAUAAGGACCGGCUAACUACGUGCCAGCCGCCGCAGUAA
This 508-nucleotide ribosomal RNA is filed under the name uncultured bacterium. RNAcentral's name for it is "partial 16S ribosomal RNA". It matches the Rfam family "Bacterial small subunit ribosomal RNA", at positions 30 to 523 of the family's 1533-position model. The record is from RNAcentral.